RNAcentral lists this unclassified non-coding RNA (321 nucleotides) under Pseudoplectania nigrella. Its description in RNAcentral is "partial internal transcribed spacer region". The stretch from base 1 to 46 matches the Rfam family "Eukaryotic small subunit ribosomal RNA", at positions 1786 to 1831 of the family's 1831-position model. The record is from RNAcentral. Lineage: Eukaryota; Fungi; Ascomycota; Pezizomycetes; Pezizales; Sarcosomataceae.
AAGUCGUAACAAGGUUUCCGUAGGUGAACCUGCGGAAGGAUCAUUAAUUAAACGCGAAUUGCUAAGAGGCACCCCCCCCUUCUGGGGGGGGAAGCAUGGCUCUGGCACAUCCUUUGAUUAUAUCCCAUCUGUGAAUCUUUCCACUGUUGCUUCCGUGAGCCUGUGCUUAGCUCUCUCUGAGAGUCAACGCACCUGAAAAGUCCUGGCGCACUGCCAGGAGCGCACGGCAAUGGUACCCAAACCCUUGUUUUAUGCUGAUGCAGUCUGAGUGGUUAACACACAAACAAGUUAAAACUUUCAACAACGGAUCUCUUGGUUCUC